GGGGAUUUAGCUCAGUGGUAGAGCGCUUGCCUAGCAAGCACAAGGCCCUGGGUUCUGACCCCAGCUUCG
Molecule: transfer RNA, 69 nt
Filed under: Rattus norvegicus (Norway rat)
Lineage: Eukaryota; Metazoa; Chordata; Mammalia; Rodentia; Muridae
Rfam family: tRNA
About the family: Transfer RNA (tRNA) molecules are approximately 80 nucleotides in length. Their secondary structure includes four short double-helical elements and three loops (D, anti-codon, and T loops). Further hydrogen bonds mediate the characteristic L-shaped molecular structure. tRNAs have two regions of fundamental functional importance: the anti-codon, which is responsible for specific mRNA codon recognition, and the 3' end, to which the tRNAs corresponding amino acid is attached (by aminoacyl-tRNA synthetases). tRNAs cope with the degeneracy of the genetic code in two manners: having more than one tRNA (with a specific anti-codon) for a particular amino acid; and 'wobble' base-pairing, i.e. permitting non-standard base-pairing at the 3rd anti-codon position.
Source: Rfam by way of RNAcentral